Long non-coding RNA from Panicum virgatum (switchgrass), 1077 nucleotides. RefSeq lists it as uncharacterized. The record is from RefSeq and is a predicted model, not a curated record. The transcript has 6 exons. Lineage: Eukaryota; Viridiplantae; Streptophyta; Magnoliopsida; Poales; Poaceae.
GGAACCACGCCGUCUCGUUGGGCAUCAGUGGGCCCGUAUCGGCAUGGACCGGAUAGCCAUCGUGGACUGGGCCCGACCAGACCGGCGUAUGUAUAGCGUCUAAUUAGAGGCAUGCGUUUUCUUUUUCACCUGCGGACAUUUUUGCUUCUGUAUAACAUCGAGCGCAGCUCAGCCAUUGAUUGCUUAGGAUAAAGCUAUAUCUUGCCCGAGUGUUUCUACCAGCUCCAUCACCCAUUUUUGGAGCCGUUCGAUUUUGUCUGGGCACGCAUCUGGGGUCGUCCAUCUGGGUGGUGCCGGUCUAUCCUGUUCUUUUUUUAUUAGCUUCUAUGGGCCCAUAUUGUCAGUCUUUAUUUGUUUGUUUUUUGGAAACCACGCCCAUUUUAGCUGUGGGUGGCAGCUAGCCCAGGUCGCUUUCCCCAUUUUUGCUUUUCCCGUUUGUUAUCGAGGGCGCUCUGCUCAGAGCGAGGGGCUCUCUCUCGCCGCGCUCAGAUGGCUACUAGAAGACGCAGAGAGCUACCUGAUUAUGGUAUGAGUAACAUAGGAGAAGAAGUUGAUGACGCCCCCAUUGAUGAAUGUUCAUCCGAUUCUGAUGGCGCUGGACUAUCCGAGCCUGAUGGUGAUCCCGCUCAAAGUGAAGGAUCUUCCUCUAGUGAUGACCAAGCUUUGCAGCGAAAACUGUACAAGGAAGUUUUAAUAGAUUAUGAAAGGCUUAAAGAAUUGAAAAGGAAACUCAAGUUGUCUGUAACCCUUGAGGCAGUUUGCUGAAUCUUCAAAUGUUGCUUCCUCAUGUCGCUCAAAGUCAAAAGUUUCCGACACAGUACCCUGCAAAAGGUGCUCCAGUGUUAGCUAAUCUUGUCUGCCCUAUACAAAAAAGAUACUUAAGUUAUGCUCAGGGAUCAUAACUUUUUCGUAUCUGAAUAUGGAUAUACUUAUAUAUCAAUCACUAUUUUCUUUUCUGGUUUUUACAUAUGGAAUAUGUUGUAUUUACAUGACCAUCAUAGCUGUAAAUUCAGAUAUAUUGAACUGUAAAAACACAUAACCAGCAUAUGGAUGUUCACUGUGUGAUCUGAAGUUGGA